This is a long non-coding RNA of Paralichthys olivaceus (Japanese flounder), 421 nucleotides long. RefSeq lists it as uncharacterized. NCBI's taxonomy places the organism in Eukaryota, Metazoa, Chordata, Actinopteri, Pleuronectiformes, Paralichthyidae. The record is from RefSeq and is a predicted model, not a curated record.
UUAAGGUCUGGGAGUGACCAACCUUGUUCCUUUGUUUGAGACCAUGCGGACCUGCACCAGAUGCAGAUGCUUUUGUCAACAGGAUGCAUAGAUUAUGAAGAUGUGUGAGUUUUAUUUGGGAAUUAAAACAUUCCUUCUGCCUCCUACAUCCUCGUGCACUAACCUGCUCCAAUCACACGGAUGAGAAUGAUGACUUACCUGGAUGAUAGCUUUUUGGAAACAAGGAGAGGAAUCUAUCAGACAAACAUGGACAGUGCAAGAUAGAUCAUGCAAAGACUUUAUGAAAUAAUGAAAGUUCAUUAUACCCUCCAGUAUCUUUCAUUUGGUAUCAUAUGCACAUGAGCGGCUGUUGACAAAACUCUUAAUCAAUGAAGAAAAGACAAAAUACACAAACAAUUGACAUUCAGAAUCAGAAUCUGCA